GGAUGUGAUCAUACCAGCACUAACACAACGGAUUCCAUAAGAACUCCAAAGUUAAGAGGGCUCGAGCGAGAGUAGUACUAGGAUGGGUGUCCCCCUGGGAAGUCCUCGUGUUACAUCCU
Molecule: ribosomal RNA, 119 nt
Filed under: Nicotiana attenuata
Lineage: Eukaryota; Viridiplantae; Streptophyta; Magnoliopsida; Solanales; Solanaceae
Source: RNAcentral